RNAcentral lists this ribosomal RNA (158 nucleotides) under Rhizopogon luteolus. Its description in RNAcentral is "5.8S ribosomal RNA". The stretch from base 90 to 158 matches the Rfam family "5.8S ribosomal RNA", at positions 1 to 69 of the family's 154-position model. The record is from RNAcentral. Lineage: Eukaryota; Fungi; Basidiomycota; Agaricomycetes; Boletales; Rhizopogonaceae.
ACAUCUUUGUGUAGAAAGUCUUAGAAUGUUUACUAUCAUUGAGUCACGACUCUUAGGAGACGUGGGUCUUUGAGAUAAAAGUUUAUUACAACUUUCAGCAAUGGAUCUCUUGGCUCUCGCAUCGAUGAAGAACGCAGCGAAACGCGAUAUGUAAUGUG